UACGGGGGGGGCAAGCGUUGUUCGGAAUUACUGGGCGUAAAGGGCUCGUAGGUGGCCAACUAAGUCAGACGUGAAAUCCCUCGGCUUAACCGGGGAACUGCGUCUGAUACUGGAUGGCUUGAGUUCGGGAGAGGGAUGCGGAAUUCCAGGUGUAGCGGUGAAAUGCGUAGAUAUCAGGAGGAACACCAAUGGCGAAGGCAGCUCGCUGGGACGGUAUUGACGCUGAGACGCGAAAGCGUGGGGAGCAAACAGG
This 253-nucleotide ribosomal RNA is filed under the name uncultured bacterium. Its description in RNAcentral is "partial 16S ribosomal RNA". It matches the Rfam family "Bacterial small subunit ribosomal RNA", at positions 524 to 776 of the family's 1533-position model. The record is from RNAcentral.